Molecule: unclassified non-coding RNA, 1090 nt
Filed under: Hevea brasiliensis (rubber tree)
Lineage: Eukaryota; Viridiplantae; Streptophyta; Magnoliopsida; Malpighiales; Euphorbiaceae
Source: RNAcentral
UGAAAUGUGUCUAAUACAUCAGCAAUUUCCUCCGUUUUAGGAAGAUCAGGGCCAAAAAGGGGACGCUUGCCUCUGAGCUCAGAUAAGAGCCAUUCCUGCCUGCAUUCCUCAGACCAUUCUCGAUAAGAUCCAAUCCCCAAAUGAUUUGUAAUAGCAUCAAGAACAUCAGUAUGCCUGUCAGAUUCCUGUCGGAUAUCAAGUCUUACAAGGGAAAGCCCAAAGGUAGAAACUUGCCGUAGGAAAUCAAGAAGGCUUCCAUCUGCAAUAGGUCGAUCACCACAAGCACAGAGUGAUCUGUAACAGAGUUCAAGAGGCUGCAAGAACUGCUCAACAUUAGUAAAAGUCGCUUCCUCAGGAAUGUCAGAAAUACCAUUGACUAAUAAAUGACGAGAGCGUUCACGUGUAUUAUAAAGUUUGUCCCUCACAUCACCGAGAAUAACACGAUAAGGUUCACUUGGAGGAAUCUGUUUCCAAAAUUCUAUGUAGUGUUUUGCAUCUUUCCUUGAAGACCGAUGAAGUUCAUCCGCAUGAACACGAAGUUCGUCAUUGCAUCGCCACAUUGACAACUCAAACAUAAGAUCCUCUAUUUGGGAGAAAUAUAAGUUGGCAGCCAUCAUUCUAGCCAGUAAGCAAACAUCCCUUGUAACUUCAGGAGUUACUCGAGGAUUUCCAUCACGAUCACCACCCAUCCAAGAAGAGAAUUGGAUGAGAGGAGCAUUAUAAGGUAGACGUUCAUUUAUCCCAAGAUUCUUCAAAGCUGUGUCGACACGGCGCAAGAAUUUUGGGACACCCUUCCAAAUUGUCUCAUGGAAGUAGCUCAUUCCAGCUCUCAUCUCAUCUUGAGGAGUUGGAGGAGUCCUUCGGAUUUCAUCUGUGCGGAAUGCAGCUUGGAUCUCCCUUUGUAAGGCCUCAUCAAGUUCCUGCUUAUCAUCUGGAGUAAUGUCCUUAGCAUACAACUGGGUCAAACAAUUCCGUAUCCUUGCAUGCUUUUGAAGCAAAGAUCUACGAACAGAUUGAGUGGGAUGUGCGGUUAAGACUAAAUCAACUGUCUGGUUCUUCAGAGCAUCAAAAACUUCUUCUGGGGACUUCU